Molecule: non-coding RNA, 46 nt
Filed under: Schistosoma mattheei
Lineage: Eukaryota; Metazoa; Platyhelminthes; Trematoda; Strigeidida; Schistosomatidae
Source: RNAcentral
GCAUUGCUGAAGAGUCCUACGACAGGACGAAACGGCCGCCCAAUGU